GUGGUUCUGCGUGGAAGGGCCAUCGCUCAACGGAUAAAAGCUACCCUGGGGAUAACAGGCUUAUCUCCCCCAAGAGUCCACAUCGACGGGGAGGUUUGGCACCUCGAUGUCGGCUCAUCACAUCCUGGGGCUGUAGUAGGUCCCAAGGGUUGGGCUGUUCGCCCAUUAAAGUGGUACGCGAGCUGGGUUCAGAACGUCGUGAGACAGUUCGGUCCCUAUCCGUCGCAGGCGUAGGAAAUUUGAGAAGACCUGUCCUUAGUACGAGAGGACCGGGAUGGACGUACCUCUGGUGUACCAGUUGUUCUGCCAAGGGCAUGGCUGGGUAGCUAUGUACGGAAUGGAUAAGCGCUGAAAGCAUCUAAGCGCGAAGCCAACUUCAAGAUAAGAUUUCCCACCGCAAGGGUAAGACCCCAGAAAGACUAUCUGGUUGAUAGGUCGAAGGUGUAAGUGCAGCAAUGUAUUUAGCUUAUCGAUACUAAUAGGUCGAGGACUUGACCAAAUU
Molecule: ribosomal RNA, 502 nt
Filed under: Clostridioides difficile
Lineage: Bacteria; Bacillati; Bacillota; Clostridia; Peptostreptococcales; Peptostreptococcaceae
Description: partial 23S ribosomal RNA
Rfam family: Bacterial large subunit ribosomal RNA
Source: RNAcentral